GUGAUCGUAGCUCAGUUGGUAGAGCGCCAGAUUGUGGCUCUGGAGGUCAGGGGUUCGAGCCCCCUCGGUCACC
Molecule: transfer RNA, 73 nt
Filed under: Ferrimicrobium acidiphilum DSM 19497
Lineage: Bacteria; Bacillati; Actinomycetota; Acidimicrobiia; Acidimicrobiales; Acidimicrobiaceae
Rfam family: tRNA
About the family: Transfer RNA (tRNA) molecules are approximately 80 nucleotides in length.
Source: Rfam by way of RNAcentral